GCAUGAAGUUGGAAUCGCUAGUAAUCGCGGAUCAGCAUGCCGCGGUGAAUACGUUCCCGGGCCUUGUACACACCGCCCGUCACACCAUGAGAGUCGGGAACACCCGAAGCCUGUAGUCUAACAGCAAUGAGGACGCAGUCGAAGGUGGGAUUGAUAAUUAGGGUGAAGUCGUAACAAGGUACC
This 183-nucleotide ribosomal RNA is filed under the name uncultured bacterium. Its description in RNAcentral is "partial 16S ribosomal RNA". It matches the Rfam family "Bacterial small subunit ribosomal RNA", at positions 1318 to 1500 of the family's 1533-position model. The record is from RNAcentral.